AAGGAGUAGAAAAACCUAGAUUUCACUUUGGCACCCACAUUUCUCCCGAAUCUCUCCUACCGAACCCCUCUCACGCAUAGUCUUCUCCUCCCAAAUCCCUCUCAUGCGUACAUACUAGUCUCCUCAUCUCAUCUUAUGCCCUCUCCGUCCAACCCCUCUUCGACGAACCCUCUUCGCGAACCUCUCCUCUGAACUCCUCUCCGUCUAACGAUAUUCUGUUGAAUCCCUCUCCUGCUGAACCUAAAAUCCAGCUUUCGAAUUCAGGAGCCAUCAUCUCUUCAUGCUGCAAAUUUCUCCCAAUCGGGAGAAGUGCUACAACCGGCUUCAUCAAUCCACAGCCUCUUCGUCGGUAGAUCUCUUGUCGGAGAAGCUUCAUCCAGCCAUCCCACACAGCUUCUUAGUCAUGAGCACAACUCAACCCACUCCAUCCGGAUCACACUUGCAAUCCCUCUCUGAUCAGCUCUUUAUCUGUAGCUCUUCUUUCGAGAAUCGAACAACAACCGUCUCUCCUUUCAGGCCUUCCAAACUCCUCAGAUCAGUUCCAUCUGAAGCUUCCAACAAUAACCUUCAAGAUCCGAAUAACAUUGAUUUUGAAGAUAUCAAAAGUAUGAGACACUCGAAUGCAGACAAGUGAUAAUUAGGAGCAGCAACUACAUGCUAUGUAGCACUGCAUCCGAACCUUAGGGGUGUGACUGGGAAGUACUUCGACGAAGAAUUAUCAAGAAGACUUUGAGAUUUAAGCGAGAAGAUGUUAAUGCUAAUGAGUAAAGAACAUUCAAGUCAAGAUGAUAAGUAGCAUCUAUCAAGAUCCUUUAAGUUCAUGCAACAAAAUGUAGUCGAUAGGAGUAGUUUUGAGUAUCUCCUAAUUAAAAUUUCUUUAUAUUCGAGUAAUUAUGUUUGUUAUAGAAGUUGAAGGAUGAUAAUUUAUAUAUUUAUCUUGGUUGAUUAUUUAAUAAUAUGUUAUUCAUUGAA
RNA transcript from Zingiber officinale, 972 nucleotides. It is a transcript of the gene named short-chain dehydrogenase TIC 32, chloroplastic-like, with no coding region annotated. The record is from RefSeq and is a predicted model, not a curated record. The transcript is spliced from 3 exons. NCBI's taxonomy places the organism in Eukaryota, Viridiplantae, Streptophyta, Magnoliopsida, Zingiberales, Zingiberaceae.